UUUAUUAUUUAGAACUGCCAUUUAUUCGCAACAUUCCUGCCGACAACAAUCCAAGACAUAUUCAGGCUAUUAACUUCGUGCGUCGACGGUGCACUGAGAUCCUAAGCGAUCUACAGAAUCAUCUUGGUAGUACAGAUGCUGUAAAGGUCAUAGCAAUAAAUAGCAGAAUAAUAUAUGAAGUGAAAUGUCCAUUCAAUAGAUGUCAAUAUAUAGGAGGUAAAGUUGACCGUCAUAUGAAAGCUGUGCACUAGGUUUCAGACAAGUUGGCUGGACUUUUCAAAUUAAGACAAGUUAGACUGCUUAAUUAUUACACGAAGAUUUAUCAUAUUGGUCAAGUCAAACCUCUUCCUUGUAAAGCUUGUAACAGAUACUUCGACAGAUUUAUGACACACGUCAAAAACACACUACAGAAAACAGUAAAAGAGUUUUGUCGAUUUCCCGCCGUUUCGAUAAGGCUUUAAAGAAGAAAUAUGAUAGUUUUUAGGGUUUUAUUCUUUUUAUGUAACU
Molecule: long non-coding RNA, 507 nt
Organism: Hydractinia symbiolongicarpus
Lineage: Eukaryota; Metazoa; Cnidaria; Hydrozoa; Anthoathecata; Hydractiniidae
Exons: 3
Source: RefSeq, a predicted model, not a curated record